RNAcentral lists this ribosomal RNA (494 nucleotides) under uncultured bacterium. RNAcentral's name for it is "partial 16S ribosomal RNA". It matches the Rfam family "Bacterial small subunit ribosomal RNA", at positions 28 to 507 of the family's 1533-position model. The record is from RNAcentral.
GACGAACGUUGGCGGCGCGCUUAACACAUGCAAGUCGAACGGAAAGGCCUGCUUUCCCUUGUGGAUUGCGGGUACUCGAGUGGCGAACGGGUGAGUAACACGUGAGUGAUCUGCCCCCAACUUGGGUAUAAGCCUGGGAAACUGGGUCUAAUUCCCGAUAGGACUGCAGGGUGGUGCCUGUGGUGGAAAACGAUUUUCUAGUGGUUGGGGAUGAGCUCGCGGCCUAUCAGCUUGUUGGUGGGGUAAUGGCCUACCAAGGCGGCGACGGGUAGCCGGCCUGGGAGGGUGGACGGGCACAUUGGGACUGGGAAACGGCCCAGACUCCUACGGGAGGCAGCAGUGGGGAAUAUUGCACAAUGGGCGGAAGCCUGAUGCAGCGACGCCGCGUGGGGGAUGACGGCCUUCGGGUUGUAAACUCCUUUCGACCGCGAGGAAGCCACCUGGUUGGAAGGGUGGUGACGGUAGUGGUAGAAGAAGCACCGGCUAACUACGUG